Molecule: ribosomal RNA, 484 nt
Filed under: uncultured bacterium
Lineage: Bacteria
Description: partial 16S ribosomal RNA
Rfam family: Bacterial small subunit ribosomal RNA
Source: RNAcentral
AUUGAACGCUGGCGGCAUGCUUUACACAUGCAAGUCGAACGGCAGCGCGGGCUUCGGCCUGGCUGCGAGUGGCGAACGGGUGAGUAAUGCAUCGGAACGUGCCCAGUAGUGGGGGAUAGCCCGGCGAAAGCCGGAUUAAUACCGCAUACGACCUGAGGGUGAAAGCGGGGGACCGAAAGGCCUCGCGCUAUUGGAGCGGCCGAUGUCGGAUUAGCUAGUUGGUGGGGUAAAGGCUUACCAAGGCGACGAUCCGUAGCUGGUCUGAGGGGACGACCAGCCACACUGGGACUGAGACACGGCCCAGACUCCUACGGGGGGCAGCAGUGGGGAAUUUUGGACAAUGGGGGCAACCCUGAUCCAGCCAUGCCGCGUGCGGGAAGAAGGCCUUCGGGUUGGAAAACGCUUUUGUUCGGGAAGAAAUCCUCUGGGCUAAUACCCCGGGGGGAUGACGGUACCGGAAGAAUAAGCACCGGCUAACUACGUG